AAUGAAGUGCCUGAAUAAAGGAUUACUGUGAUAGAGUAAUUAAUAAUGUAAAAAUAUUACUUCAUUA
This 67-nucleotide transfer RNA is filed under the name Elimaea cheni. Its description in RNAcentral is "tRNA-Ile". Lineage: Eukaryota; Metazoa; Arthropoda; Insecta; Orthoptera; Tettigoniidae. The record is from RNAcentral.